Molecule: non-coding RNA, 29 nt
Filed under: Rattus norvegicus (Norway rat)
Lineage: Eukaryota; Metazoa; Chordata; Mammalia; Rodentia; Muridae
Source: RNAcentral
UACUUUGGAUUGCCACGGAUUCAUUGUGA